UACGGAGGAUGCAAGCGUUAUCCGGAUUUAUUGGGUUUAAAGGGUGCGCAGGUUGUUUGAUAAGUCAGUGGUGAAAGUCUGUCGCUUAACGGUAGGAUUGCCAUUGAUACUGUUGGACUUGAAUAUGGAUGAGGUAGGCGGAAUGUGUAGUGUAGCGGUGAAAUGCAUAGAUAUUACACAGAACACCGAUUGCGAAGGCAGCUUACUAAUCCAUCAUUGACGCUGAGGCACGAAAGCGUGGGGAUCA
RNAcentral lists this ribosomal RNA (247 nucleotides) under uncultured prokaryote. RNAcentral's name for it is "partial 16S ribosomal RNA". It matches the Rfam family "Bacterial small subunit ribosomal RNA", at positions 524 to 770 of the family's 1533-position model. The record is from RNAcentral.